RNAcentral lists this ribosomal RNA (490 nucleotides) under uncultured bacterium. Its description in RNAcentral is "partial 16S ribosomal RNA". It matches the Rfam family "Bacterial small subunit ribosomal RNA", at positions 30 to 507 of the family's 1533-position model. The record is from RNAcentral.
AUUGAACGCUGGCGGCAGGCCUAACACAUGCAAGUCGAACGGUAACAGGAAGAAGCUUGCUUCUUUGCUGACGAGUGGCGGACGGGUGAGUAAUGUCUGGGAAACUGCCUGAUGGAGGGGGAUAACUACUGGAAACGGUAGCUAAUACCGCUUAACGUCGCAAGACCAAAGAGGGGGACCUUCGGGCCUCUUGCCAUCGGAUGUGCCCAGAUGGGAUUAGCUAGUAGGUGGGGUAACGGCUCACCUAGGCGACGAUCCCUAGCUGGUCUGAGAGGAUGACCAGCCACACUGGAACUGAGACACGGUCCAGACUCCUACGGGAGGCAGCAGUGGGGAAUAUUGCACAAAGGGCGCAAGCCUGAUGCAGCCAUGCCGCGUGUAUGAAGAAGGCCUUCGGGUUGUAAAGUACUUUCAGCGGGGAGGAAGGGAGUAAAGUUAAUACCUUUGCUCAUUGACGUUACCCGCAGAAGAAGCACCGGCUAACUCCGUG